MicroRNA precursor from Chelydra serpentina (North American snapping turtle), 66 nucleotides. The record is from Ensembl. Lineage: Eukaryota; Metazoa; Chordata; Testudines; Chelydridae.
UCAGAUGUAACAGCAACUCCAUGUGGACUACACUGACUUCCAGUGGAGAUGCUGUUACUUUUGAUA